AGCAGCCGCGGUAAUUCCAGCUCCAAUAGCGUAUAUUAAAGUUGCUGCAGUUAAAAAGCUCGUAGUUGAAUUUCGGGACUAAUAUGUCGGUCGUGCCUCGGUACGUACUGGUUUAUUGGUUUCUCCUUUCUGAAGAACCAUGAUGUCAUUUAUUUGGUGUCGUGGGGAAUCAGGACUGUUACUUUGAAAAAAUUAGAGUGUUUAAAGCAGGCUCACGCUUGAAUACAUUAGCAUGGAAUAAUGAAAUAGGACGUUUGAUUCUAUUUUGUUGGUUUCUAGGAUCGACGUAAUGAUUAAUAGGGAUAGUUGGGGGCAUUAGUAUUCAAUUGUCAGAGGUGAAAUUCUUGGAUUUAUUGAAGACUAACUACUGCGAAAGCAUUUGCCAAGGAUGUUUUCAUUAAUCAAGAACGAAAGUUAGGGGAUCGAAGACGAUCAGAUACCGUCGUAGUCUUAACCAUAAACUAUGCCGACUAGGGAUCGGAUGAUGUUAAUUUUUUAAUGACUCAUUCGGCGUCCUUAC
This 520-nucleotide unclassified non-coding RNA is filed under the name uncultured Glomus. Its description in RNAcentral is "SSU rRNA". It matches the Rfam family "Eukaryotic small subunit ribosomal RNA", at positions 569 to 1091 of the family's 1831-position model. The record is from RNAcentral. Lineage: Eukaryota; Fungi; Glomeromycota; Glomeromycetes; Glomerales; Glomeraceae.